GGAUCACUCUGUUCUCACUUUGUCUGACUUCAUCUUAAAAACUUGUAUUUUCAGUGCCAAAUGCCACACAGAGAGAACCUCGCUGACAUCAGUGCUACUGUUGUUGGCAUUGAGUACACUUCAUCUCUGAAAGAUCUGCCCUGGUAGAAAACCAUCUAAUAUUCUUCCUGCUUAUAUAAUAUUCUAAGAAUGAGGCUAUCAAAUAUUUUUUUAAAGUAUUUGUUGCUGUUUGAUAUAUCACUGACAUAUUCUUUUAUGGCUGAAAAUGUGCUUGAAGACUGGUGAAGCCUUGUUCUUGCUAAGUUUUUCAUUCUUUUAAAAAUGCUUUUUGACCAAUUUGUAUUUCAUCUCCUGCUGUACAUGACAAGAACACACUGCCAUGAAUUCAAGAGAGAGUUAAAGCAGAGCAAGUCAAAUUGGAAAGAGGCCCUUGGAAUACAGUUACAUUCACCAUAUGAAAGGAGACGUUGUAACAGUUUGUUCUUUAAAGAAGCCUCAAAAGGGAAAAAAACCCUCAAAGCAGCAAACCUUUUGGCUCUUUUGAUCUCCU
Molecule: long non-coding RNA, 550 nt
Filed under: Zonotrichia albicollis (white-throated sparrow)
Lineage: Eukaryota; Metazoa; Chordata; Aves; Passeriformes; Passerellidae
Description: lncRNA (ENSZALG00000000529.1)
Source: RNAcentral